Molecule: ribosomal RNA, 1017 nt
Filed under: uncultured organism
Description: bacterial SSU rRNA
Rfam family: Bacterial small subunit ribosomal RNA
Source: RNAcentral
GAGGAAUAUUGGUCAAUGGACGAGAGUCUGAACCAGCCAAGUAGCGUGAAGGAUGACUGCCCUAUGGGUUGUAAACUUCUUUUAUACGGGAAUAAAGUUAGCCACGUGUGGCUUUUUGUAUGUACCGUAUGAAUAAGGAUCGGCUAACUCCGUGCCAGCAGCCGCGGUAAUACGGAGGAUCCGAGCGUUAUCCGGAUUUAUUGGGUUUAAAGGGAGCGUAGGCGGGUUGUUAAGUCAGUUGUGAAAGUUUGCGGCUCAACCGUAAAAUUGCAGUUGAUACUGGCGACCUUGAGUGCAACAGAGGUAGGCGGAAUUCGCGGUGUAGCGGUGAAAUGCUUAGAUAUCACGAAGAACUCCGAUUGCGAAAGCAGCUUACUGGAUUGUAACUGACGCUGAUGCUCGAAAGUGUGGGUAUCAAACAGGAUUAGAUACCCUGGUAGUCCACACAGUAAACGAUGAAUACUCGCUGUUGGCGAUAUACGGUCAGCGGCCAAGCGAAAGCAUUAAGUAUUCCACCUGGGGAGUACGCCGGCAACGGUGAAACUCAAAGGAAUUGACGGGGGCCCGCACAAGCGGAGGAACAUGUGGUUUAAUUCGAUGAUACGCGAGGAACCUUACCCGGGCUUAAAUUGCAACUGACUGAACCGGAAACGGUUCUUUCUUCGGACAGUUGUGAAGGUGCUGCAUGGUUGUCGUCAGCUCGUGCCGUGAGGUGUCGGCUUAAGUGCCAUAACGAGCGCAACCCUUAUCGAUAGUUACUAGCAGGUCAUGCUGAGGACUCUAUUGAGACUGCCGUCGUAAGAUGUGAGGAAGGUGGGGAUGACGUCAAAUCAGCACGGCCCUUACGUCCGGGGCUACACACGUGUUACAAUGGGGGGUACAGAAGGCAGCUACACGGCGACGUGGUGCUAAUCCCGAAAGCCUCUCUCAGUUCGGAUUGGAGUCUGCAACCCGACUCCAUGAAGCUGGAUUCGCUAGUAAUCGCGCAUCAGCCACGGCGCGGUGAAUACGUUCCCG